UACGAAGGGUGCAAGCGUUAAUCGGAAUUACUGGGCGUAAAGCGCGCGUAGGUGGUUCAGUAAGUUGGAAGUGAAAUCCCCGGGCUCAACCUGGGAACUGCUUUCAAAACUGCUGAGCUAGAGUACGGUAGAGGGUGGUGGAAUUUCCUGUGUAGCGGUGAAAUGCGUAGAUAUAGGAAGGAACACCAGUGGCGAAGGCGACCACCUGGACUGAUACUGACACUGAGGUGCGAAAGCGUGGCGAGCAAACAGG
This 253-nucleotide ribosomal RNA is filed under the name uncultured bacterium. Its description in RNAcentral is "partial 16S ribosomal RNA". It matches the Rfam family "Bacterial small subunit ribosomal RNA", at positions 524 to 776 of the family's 1533-position model. The record is from RNAcentral.